RNAcentral lists this transfer RNA (65 nucleotides) under Marmota monax (woodchuck). Its description in RNAcentral is "tRNA.Ala". It matches the Rfam family "tRNA", at positions 6 to 65 of the family's 71-position model. Rfam says of the family: Transfer RNA (tRNA) molecules are approximately 80 nucleotides in length. Their secondary structure includes four short double-helical elements and three loops (D, anti-codon, and T loops). The record is from RNAcentral. Lineage: Eukaryota; Metazoa; Chordata; Mammalia; Rodentia; Sciuridae.
UGUAGCUCAGUGAUAGAGCACUUGCCUGGCAUGCAUGAGGCCCUGGGUUCAAUCCCCCAGUACAA